AUAUCCGUGGCGUAACGGCAACCGCAACAGGUUUAAGCCCUGUACAAUUGUGAGUUCGAGUCUCACCGGGUAUA
RNAcentral lists this transfer RNA (74 nucleotides) under Bacteroidia bacterium. RNAcentral describes it as "tRNA-Leu". It matches the Rfam family "tRNA". Rfam says of the family: Transfer RNA (tRNA) molecules are approximately 80 nucleotides in length. Their secondary structure includes four short double-helical elements and three loops (D, anti-codon, and T loops). The record is from RNAcentral. Lineage: Bacteria; Pseudomonadati; Bacteroidota; Bacteroidia.